AUUUUUUGUUAAAUUGAGGAUAGUCUAAUCAUAAUGCAACAGAGGUUCCUCGCCAUCUGCCUGUUUUAGAAGUCAACUAGCUGGACAGCCUUCAGUGCAACACAUCUGUGAAACUGAAACCCAUCAACCUGGAUGGAAAAUGAUUUGCUGCCAAGGAACGCAGAGCGUGACAAAGACCUUUUUUAUGGGAAUAAGUAUCCAGAUCAACCACCAAAACACAACUCUCUCUGCUGGUUCAGGAAGAAGCGCCUUGCGGGUCACCAGACACCGGUCCACGGACCCAGAGGUGUCGCAGCAUUCGUGAGAAGACUGAAAGCCAUCUGAGGUUUUAAGACUACAGCAAAGCCACAAAUAAGAAAUGUGCAUCCAAUUAGAGACAUUUUAUCCAGCAGAAGCUGCGCCUGCAUCUUCAGGAAAG
Gambusia affinis (western mosquitofish) is the source of this 418-nucleotide long non-coding RNA. RefSeq lists it as uncharacterized. The transcript is spliced from 4 exons. Lineage: Eukaryota; Metazoa; Chordata; Actinopteri; Cyprinodontiformes; Poeciliidae. The record is from RefSeq and is a predicted model, not a curated record.